UACUGAGACACGAACAGACUCUACGGAAGCAGCAGUGAGAAUAAUGACAAUGGCGCAAGCUGAUCCAGCCAUGCGCGUGCAUGAUGACGGUCCUAUGGAUGUAAACUGCUUUAUACGAGAGAAACACUGCUUCGUGAAGCAGCUUGACGGUAUCGUAAGAAUAAGGAUCGGCUAACUCCGUGCCAGCAGCCGCGGUAAUACGGAGGAUCCAAGCGUUAUCCGGAAUCAUUGGGUUUAAAGGGUCCGUAGGCGGUUUAAUAAGUCAGUGGUGAAAGCCCAUCGCUCAACGGUGGAACGGCCAUUGAUACUGUUAAACUUGAAUUAUUAGGAAGUAACUAGAAUAUGUAGUGUAGCGGUGAAAUGCUUAGAGAUUACAUGGAAUACCAAUUGCGAAGGCAGGUUACUACUAAUGGAUUGACGCUGAUGGACGAAAGCGUGGGUAGCGAACAGGAUUAGAUACCCUGGUAGUCCACGCCGUAAACGAUGGAUACUAGCUGUUGGAAGCAAUUUCAGUGGCUAAGCGAAAGUGAUAAGUAUCCCACCUGGGGAGUACGUUCGCAAGAAUGAAACUCAAAGGAAUUGACGGGGGCCCGCACAAGCGGUGGAGCAUGUGGUUUAAUUCGAUGAUACGCGAGGAACCUUACCAAGGCUUAAAUGUAGUUUGACCGGUUUGGAAACAGAUCUUUCGCAAGACAAAUUACAAGGUGCUGCAUGGUUGUCGUCAGCUCGUGCCGUGAGGUGUCAGGUUAAGUCCUAUAACGAGCGCAACCCCUGUUGUUAGUUGCCAGCGAGUCAUGUCGGGAACUCUAACAAGACUGCCAGUGCAAACUGUGAGGAAGG
This 840-nucleotide ribosomal RNA is filed under the name Flavobacterium sp. 4cultural_100. Its description in RNAcentral is "bacterial SSU rRNA". It matches the Rfam family "Bacterial small subunit ribosomal RNA", at positions 317 to 1173 of the family's 1533-position model. Lineage: Bacteria; Pseudomonadati; Bacteroidota; Flavobacteriia; Flavobacteriales; Flavobacteriaceae. The record is from RNAcentral.